AAAAAAAAAGCCUGUGGAAGACUCAGCAGAACCCAGGAAGCGCAGAAUUGGGAGAAAAGUCUUUGGCUGGGGCUGUUUCAAGUCUCUGGUUCAAUGGGCUGCUCGAAGCCAGGACUGGGUAAUUCUUUCCAGACGUCUUGACUUCUCCUUCCCCGCCGUUGUUGCCCUUCUGCCUCCUCCAACUUAAGGGGGUCUUAACAAGAUCUUCUGAGGGGUGGACUUCUUUGGAACUCGACAGGACCUUGAAGACUGGGUUCUUAGUCCUUAUCACAUAUAUGGGCUAUAAUGAAUAAGUCUAAACAGAAAAGUCGAAUAAACUGGAAAUGAUGCUUUCAUCACGUCGCACAAGAAAAACACAUUUGUUGUUUCUCGCCUCUUGUAAUUCAUGACCCAUAAGACAAAAGUAAAAUGUUCUCUGACUGCAAAUGGAUGUAAAAACUGAUUAUACAGCUACACAUUUCUGUCAUCCUCCCAUCUCUACCCCAAAGAAAGAGGAGCUGUUUGGAUCAGAAGAUGACAUCCUUUCACCCAUCCCUUUCAGGUUUUGACAUCCUAAAAUGUACCUUAUGGAACCCAUACCUGUUAUGUUUUCACCUG
RNAcentral lists this long non-coding RNA (597 nucleotides) under Homo sapiens (human). RNAcentral describes it as "non-protein coding HAS2-AS1:5". The record is from RNAcentral. Lineage: Eukaryota; Metazoa; Chordata; Mammalia; Primates; Hominidae.